RNAcentral lists this ribosomal RNA (120 nucleotides) under uncultured bacterium. RNAcentral's name for it is "partial 16S ribosomal RNA". It matches the Rfam family "Bacterial small subunit ribosomal RNA", at positions 796 to 918 of the family's 1533-position model. The record is from RNAcentral.
CACACUGUAAACGAUGAUAACUCGCUGUCGGCGAUACACAGUCGGUGGCCAAGCGAAAGCAUUAAGUUAUCCACCUGGGGAGUACGACCGCAAGGUUGAAACUCAAAGGAAUUGACGGGG